Molecule: ribosomal RNA, 470 nt
Filed under: uncultured beta proteobacterium
Lineage: Bacteria; Pseudomonadati; Pseudomonadota; Betaproteobacteria
Description: partial 16S ribosomal RNA
Source: RNAcentral
UGCUUACUAUUUAUUAGAUAGCAAGUUUUCUUCUCUUGCGAAAGAGCUUUACAACCCGAAGGCCUUCUUCACUCACGCGGAAUGGCUGGAUCAGGGUUGCCCCCAUUGUCCAAAAUUCCCCACUGCUGCCUCCCGUAGGAGUCUGGACCGUGUCUCAGUUCCAGUGUGGCUGAUCGUCCUCUCAGACCAGCUACUGAUCGUCGCCUUGGUAGGCCAUUACCCCACCAACAAGCUAAUCAGAUAUCGGCCGCUCUAAUAACGCAAGGUCCGAAGAUCCCCUGCUUUCACCCGUAGGUCGUAUGCGGCAUUAGCUAACCUUUCAGCUAGUUAUUCCCCAUUACUAGGCACGUUCCGAUAUAUUACUCACCCGUUCGCCACUCGCCAUCAGAGAGCAAGCUCUCUAUGCUGCCGUUCGACUUGCAUGUGUAAAGCAUUCCGCCAGCGUUCAAUCUGAGCCAUGAUCAAACUCU